This 1169-nucleotide long non-coding RNA is filed under the name Scleropages formosus (Asian bonytongue). RNAcentral describes it as "lncRNA (ENSSFOG00015026933.1)". Lineage: Eukaryota; Metazoa; Chordata; Actinopteri; Osteoglossiformes; Osteoglossidae. The record is from RNAcentral.
AUGGCUGGGAGUGUCCACAAUUACCAGGCAAAAAGUGCUGCAGAACGAGCAAAGCAAAGACACCUGAGCCCACUCAAGAAGACCAGGGAAAAAAGAGGCUCCGCGUCCACACCCGGGCGCGGAUUCUUACAAUUGCCCUGUGCCCUUGCAGUCUCAGUGUCUUUGCUCAGCACUUGUGUCUUGCCUGUCCUGGUAUUUUGACCCUUGCCUGUUCCCUGUUUGACCACCGAGUCUGGAUUGUCUGCCUUGCCACAUUUGCCCCUGGAUAGACCCACGCCUGUUCUUGACUCUGAUCUUGCCUUGUCCCUUGAACCUGAUCCACGAGAUUAAAGAUCAACCCGCAAUUGGGUCCACAAACUCACCUGCGUCCAGUCCUCAUGUCUGCCACUUUUUCACACAGCCUGCUAUAUGUAUGUAUUUAUGUACGUAUCUAUCUGUCUGUCCGUCUAUGUCACUGAUUAAUUAAAGCCUUUCCAAAUGGGGCUGUGCUGUUCCUUUAUUUCAUUUCAUAGCACUUGUGAUGAAUGAUGUUUACAAGCAAUGGCAGAAACUGGUAAUGAGAACACUUGUCUGCCUCUCUCUUUCCAGCCAGUGACUCUGUGGUACUGAGCCCUCUUUCUUCCACAUUACUGCCAAUGUAUGAUGUUCCAUGGCAAACGAGGACCCAUUUCAAACAACGUCUGCAUGAUUUAGAGCUGUGACAGGCCCGGUCACGGGCAGAAGUCAUCUCUGCUGCAAAAGUUCAUCCCGAGCAGCGUAUUUAUUGUGUCUGUGAACGGCUGUCAGGAGCAGCCCAGUACAGAACACUCUGGAGCACAAGUGAAAAGCACCUCUGUCUAGGCCAAGAGCCAUCAUGAUGCCUUUAGUGUGUGUGACAGGGUCAGUCAUGACCUCAGCUCUUAAUACAGUGUGUUAUUUAGGUGCUGAGAAGCUCAACCCAUCACUGCCCAUUGAAAGUACACACACACACACACACAUUUUCAGAACCGCUUGUCCUUUACGGGGUCACGGGGAACCGGAGCCUACCCGGCAACACAGGGCGUAAGGCCGGAGGGGGAAGGGGACACACCCAGGACGGGACGCCAGUCCGCCGCAAGGCACCCCAAGCGGGACUUGAACCCCAGACCCACCGGAGAGCAGGACUGCGGUCCAACCCACUGCGCCACCGC